AGAAAUGGAAAGAUUCUUUAUAUUUUGAUUUCCUUUCAACUUAGUUUUCGAUUACAGAGGUACAAUGGUUUUAUAGAGAUUUACAUCUAAACCUAGUGUACCCUUGACUGUCAUAGCUGGCUAUUGACCAUCACGUGGCAUAGCUGUCGUCACACGAUCCUAAGCGCGUCAAAACGGUUUUGCGUUGUCACCUCCGUACCAUUUGUCUGUUCUGCUAAUGCUCUGUUUUUGGCUUUUGUCGCAGGUAGCCGUUGUACGGUUUCUUCUGCUUUUGCAUUGUGUUGGACUUGGGCUUGUUUCGGAUUGGGCCUGCUAUCAGUCUCUGGGCCUGUGUCGUUGAUACUCCCCCUCAAACUUGGAGGAGGUGGGAAAUCGACGCCAAGUUUGAAUCGCAGAGAUUCGAAAGGAGCAGUGGCUAGAGACUUUGUGAAGAUAUCGGCGAGCUGCAAGUGACCCGGUAUAUGAUUCACAAUGAGUUCACCAAAAGCAACCUGCUCACGCACAUAGUGAUAAUGUGUGGCGAAGUGUUUGGUGCGAGGAUGAAACGCAGGAUUCGCUGUAAGAUAGACAGCCGAGAGGUUAUCACAGAAGAGUUCCGGUUUCUGAAGUUGCGGAACACCCAAAUUUCGAAGCAAAUUAACGAGCCAAGUGAUUUCAGAAGCUGUCUCCGACAUUGCUCUGUAUUCAGCUUCAGUGGAGCUUUUGGCGACUGUCGGUUGCUUUCUUGAGCACCAAGAGAUUAAAUUGUUGCCAAGGAAGGUACAGAACCCCAUAGUUGAACGGCGUGUUCCCAGGCAACCUGCGUGAUCACUAUCACUAUAAGCCCGUAGUUUGCAAUCCGUUGCUUUGUUGAAUGCAAUUCCCAUUGUUGUUGUGCCUUUUAUGCAGCGAAGGAUUCGCUUGAGAAGAUGAAAGUCUGACACGGUUGGUGCGUGCAUCUUCUGACAAACAUAAUUAACUGAGAACUGAAGAUCUGGCCUGGUAAGAGUGAGAUACUGUAAUUUACCGGCUAAGCUGCGGAAGUAGGUUGGAUUGUCAAAAAGCUCUGUUUGAUGUGGAGCUCUCUCAGGUUGCAGGGGCAGUGGUGUUGCAACAGGAGAGCAAUGUGACAUUGCAGCUGUGGCAAGCAAAUCCUCAGCAUAUUUCUGUUGAGAAAGAAACAACCCCUUUGAGUGGAAUUGAGCUUGAAUUCCUAGAAAGUAGCUCAAUCUCCCCAAAUCUUUCAUUUUGAACUGUUGGUUGAGAUCAUGAAGAAGAUUAGAGAGGAGCUUGGAGUUGUUGCCUGUAAUUACCAUGUCAUCAACAUAAAGGAGAAGCAUGAUCACAUCUCUGUUCUUCACACAAAUAAAAAGAGACGGGUCAGACAUACUACAUAUGAAACCAAAACUCAGCAAAAAUUUGCUAAAUUUAUCAAACCAAGCCCUUGGGGACUGCUUGAGUCCAUAGAGAGAUUUGUGGAGCAAGCACACAUGAUUAGGAUGAUCUUUAUCCACGAAUCCUGCUGGUUGUUUCAUAUAGACUGUUUCAAUCAAAUCUCCAUGGAGGAAGGCGUUUUUGACGUCCAUUUGUUUUAGUUCCCAUUCCAUGACUGUUGCAAGAUGAAGAACAGCCCUGACAGUUGCAGAUCUGACAACAGGAGAGUAUGUCUCAAGAUAAUCAAUACCCUCUUCUUGCUUGAAUCCCUGAGCAACAAGUCUUGCUUUAUACUUGUCCAGAGAUCCAUCAGCAUGUAGUUUUACUCUGAACACCCAUUUGGAGCCUAGCACAUGCAUCUUUGAUGUAAGUGGAACAAGUGACCAGGUUUGCGUUUCAGAACAAUUUCCCAUUUCUUCUACCAUAGCAGCAGUCCACUUUGGAUCUUUUAAAGCUUCAGUGACUGUAGUAGGCAUAGGAUAUGAAACUUUAUGUGUAAGGAGAGCAUACCUUGGAUUUGGCUUUACAAUUCCUUUCUUCAGCCUAGUUGUCAUAGGAUGAAUAGAUUCUGUUGUUGAAGGCAAGAUGCUUGAAGAUACUGAAUUUUCAGGUCUAAGAGGUGAUGAUGGAGCGCUGUUGCCAAUAGGUGAAGAUUCAGGAACUGCAUCAUUUUCUUGGGAGGUAAUACUUUGUAUAGGUGUAAUACAUAAUGGCUCAUUUGGCUCAUUUGAUGUGUUGUUGCUUGUCUCCCCCUCGAUAUUUAGAACUGUGAGCUGGUCUUGUUGUUGUUGAUCAAUGUUGGUUGCAGGAACACUGGAGCUGGUGGUUUCUGCGGCCAUUUGUUCUUGUUCUGAAGAAGACUGCAUAUUUGAGAAGCCUUUUACCCAUGCAUCAAGCAAAGGCGUAAGAGAAGACUGCUGCGAGCCAACAUAAGUAUCACUGAAGGGAAAGGAGCUCUCAUCAAAAAUAACAUGCCUACUCAAAUACACACGGCCAGUUGGUGGAUAGUAGCAGCGAUACCCUUUGUAUUUCUCAGUGUAUCCAAGAAAGAUACACUUAAGAGACCGCGGAUCAAACUUAUUUUGUGCAUAAGGUCGGAGAGUGGGAAAGCAUGCACAGCCGAAUGUUCUUAGAGCAGAGUAGUUUGGUGUCUUACCAAAUAGAGCUUCAUAUGGAGUUGUGGAAUUAUCCAGCACUGUUGUAGGUAGCAAGUUACUGAGAAAGUUAGCUGUAAAGAAGGCUUCAACCCAAAAUUUAUGUGGUGCUUUACUCUGGAACAGUAGUGUAAGCCCUCUUUCAGUGAGUUGUCUGUGCUUCCUUUCUGCCAAUCCAUUCUGUUGUGGUGUGUGAGGACAAGAAACAUAAUGUUGUAUACCAGAUUCUUGAAGAUGUUUUAAGAACCUGUUACUUAUGAAUUCACCUCCUCCAUCACUCUGAAACGUUCCUAUUUUUGUUUGUAAGAGAUUCUCAACAAAACUCUGAAACUUGAUGAAUGUUGAACAAAAAUCUGACUUGUGCUUUAGAGGAUAAAACCAACAAUAUCUUGAUAGAUUGUCAAUGAAGAUUACAUAGUAGUGAAAUCCUUGAAUAGACGAAACAGGAGCUGGACCCCAGAGAUCACAGUGAACUCUCUCUAGAGGUCUUGAUGCAACAAAAUCUGAAGAAAUAAAUGGCAACCUCGAACUCUUCCCAAGCUGACAUGAUUCACACAUCUUGCUGGUACUUUUAUUGACUUGGAUCACCUUAUUCUUGACUAAAGACUGAAGAACUUGAGAGUUUGGAUGUCCCAAUCUCAUAUGCCAUACUUCAUCACUUGCUUUGACUUGCCUAGUAGAGUAGAACAUCUGAAACUUGGGAUUCUCCAAUUUGUAAAGACCAUCACUUGUGCUGCUUCCCUUUGUCAGAACCUUGUGAGUUACUUUGUCCUUUACAAGAACACCAUCAGCAUCAAACGUGAAGGAACAAGGAUAGUCCUUAGUCAAUUUUGACACUGAUAAAAGAGACUUAGCUAUUUCAGGACAGACCAAAACAUCUUUUAAAGGGAGAUUACCUGAAGUGGAAGGGAGACUUGCUGAGCCAAUAUGAGUAAUAGGCAAGAAAUUCCCAUCACUAGCCAUUACUGUAUCAUUACCAAAGUAGGGUUGCAUUUGUUGCAAGCGUGAGCUGUUGUUUGUGAUGUGUGCUGUAGCAGCAGAGUCAGGAAUCCAACCAUUGUCGUCUGUAACAUCAGUGAUGUGGAGAGCUGAGAACGCAGCAGCUGCAGUUUCUGACUGUUGGUAGGAGUCAUCAAACCGAUGCCAACACUGAAGCGCAGGAUGACCUCUUUUACCACAGAUUUGACACACGGGUUUCUCUCCUGUUGAGACUGAAGAACUGGAAGAAGAGAACUGUUGUUGGAAUCCACGACCACGGGUUGAGAAAUUUCCUUUUCCCCUGUUUCUUCCUCCACGACCUCUGUUUGAAGAUCUGAAAGUGUUGAACGCCAGAUGCGGUGAAACAUCACUUGCAUUGUAACUCUGAAGCCUAUCAUCGAACCCUUUUAAGCGAUAGACCACAUCUUCAUAAGAUGGACCAGGAGAAGCAUCAAGAGAGCUUUCAAGAGAAGUGAUUAGAGGUUCAUACUCUCGUGUUAAACCAUGAACCAUAGCAAAGACUUUCAUUUUUUUCAGCAACAGGGCUUCCAACAGAGGCUAGUUGGUCACAAAUGUUUUUGAGAUACCGCAAAUACUCCUCCAUGGUUUUCCCUUCUUUUGAUAGACCAUGGAGUCGACGUUGCAGCUCAAAAAUCCGAGAAGAAGAGAUACGAUUGAAAUGUUUUGCGAGAUUUUUCCAUACCUCAUAAGAUGUUUUAGAACCAACAACCACACUGAGAAUGUCUUCAGACAGUGAUCCGAGUAACCAUGCCAUAACCACUUGAUCGAGACGACACCAAGCUUCAUACUCAGGGUUUUGGACAGCUUCAGUGACGCCGGUGGCUUGUGGUCCGGAAACAAUGCUGACAGGAGCUGUGAUUGUGCCAUUGACAAACCCCAGAAGACCUUGCCCAGAAAGAAAAGAUUCGAACUGAGAUUUCCAAAGGAUAUAGUUGCGUUCGGUGAGUUUCACCGUAACACAGUUGGAGAUUUUUAGGGACGGAAGAUCAUAGAGCUCCAUGGAUUUGUCCAUGGCUCUGAUACCAUGAAAGAUAUGAAGAGAAAUGGAAAGAUUCUUUAUAUUUUGAUUUCCUUUCAACUUAGUUUUCGAUUACAGAGGUACAAUGGUUUUAUAGAGAUUUACAUCUAAACCUAGUGUACCCUUGACUGUCAUAGCUGGCUAUUGACCAUCACGUGGCAUAGCUGUCGUCACACGAUCCUAAGCGCGUCAAAACGGUUUUGCGUUGUCACCUCCGUACCAUUUGUCUGUUCUGCUAAUGCUCUGUUUUUGGCUUUUGUCGCAGGUAGCCGUUGUACGGUUUCUUCUGCUUUUGCAUUGUGUUGGACUUGGGCUUGUUUCGGAUUGGGCCUGCUAUCAGUCUCUGGGCCUGUGUCGUUGAUACCUGCAAUGUUAGAAAGAAAAAUCAAAGCACAAGAGAGACAAAUUUCUUUCUUUUCUAUUUUUCCUAAAGGAGAGUGAAAAAUUCCAAUACUAAUAAUAGUUUAUGUUAAAAUGGAAGC
Molecule: long non-coding RNA, 5066 nt
Filed under: Arabidopsis lyrata
Lineage: Eukaryota; Viridiplantae; Streptophyta; Magnoliopsida; Brassicales; Brassicaceae
Description: long non-coding RNA (ALYR_LNC002662)
Source: RNAcentral